RNAcentral lists this ribosomal RNA (460 nucleotides) under uncultured bacterium. RNAcentral describes it as "partial 16S ribosomal RNA". It matches the Rfam family "Bacterial small subunit ribosomal RNA", at positions 338 to 795 of the family's 1533-position model. The record is from RNAcentral.
CCUACGGGAGGCUGCAGUGAGGAAUAUUGGUCAAUGGACGAGAGUCUGAACCAGCCAAGUAGCGUGAAGGAUGACUGCCCUAUGGGUUGUAAACUUCUUUUAUAUGGGAAUAAAAUGUUCCACGUGUGGGAUUUUGUAUGUACCAUAUGAAUAAGGAUCGGCUAACUCCGUGCCAGCAGCCGCGGUAAUACGGAGGAUCCGAGCGUUAUCCGGAUUUAUUGGGUUUAAAGGGAGCGUGGGUGGAUUGUUAAGUCAGUUGUGAAAGUUUGCGGCUCAACCGUAAAAUUGCAGUUGAAACUGGCAGUCUUGAGUACAGUAGAGGUGGGCGGAAUUCGUGGUGUAGCGGUGAAAUGCUUAGAUAUCACGAAGAACUCCGAUUGCGAAGGCAGUUCACUGGACUGCAACUGACACUGAGGCUCGAAAGUGUGGGUAUCAAACAGGAUUAGAUACCCUUGUAGUC